This 493-nucleotide ribosomal RNA is filed under the name uncultured bacterium. RNAcentral's name for it is "bacterial SSU rRNA". It matches the Rfam family "Bacterial small subunit ribosomal RNA", at positions 8 to 526 of the family's 1533-position model. The record is from RNAcentral.
AGAGUUUGAUCAUGGCUCAGGAUGAACGCUGGCGGCGUGCCUAACACAUGCAAGUCGAACGGAUGCAGCAAUGUAUCAGUGGCGCACGGGUGAGGAACACGUAGCUAACCUGCCCCGGAGAUGGAAAUAACGGGCCGAAAGGCACGCUAAUGUCCAGUACGCUCGACGGAAGUAGAGGCCGUUGAGGAAAGGCGCAAGCCGCUCUGGGAGGGGGCUGCGGCCCAUCAGGUAGUUGGGGCGGUAACGGCGCACCAAGCCGACGACGGGUCGGGGGUCUGAGAGGAUGACCCCCCACACUGGGACUGAGACACGGCCCAGACUCCUACGGGAGGCAGCAGUGAGGGAUCUUGCACAAUGGGCGCAAGCCUGAUGCAGCGACGCCGCGUGGACGAUGACGGCUUUCGGGUUGUAAAGUCCUUUUGCCCGUGACGAGGUCGGACGGUAGCGGGAGAAGAAGCCUCGGCUAACUACGUGCCAGCCGCCGCGGUAAUAC